GGCGGCGUGCCUAAUACAUGCAAGUAGGACGCACAGUUUAUACCGUAGCUUGCUACACCAUAGACUGUGAGUUGCGAACGGGUGAGUAACGCGUAGGUAACCUGCCUAUUAGAGGGGGAUAACUAUUGGAAACGAUAGCUAAUACCGCAUAACAGUAUGUAACACAUGUUAGAUGCUUGAAAGAUGCAAUUGCAUCGCUAGUAGAUGGACCUGCGUUGUAUUAGCUAGUAGGUAGGGUAAUGGCCUACCUAGGCGACGAUACAUAGCCGACCUGAGAGGGUGAUCGGCCACACUGGGACUGAGACACGGCCCAGACUCCUACGGGAGGCAGCAGUAGGGAAUCUUCGGCAAUGGGGGGAACCCUGACCGAGCAACGCCGCGUGAGUGAAGAAGGUUUUCGGAUCGUAAAGCUCUGUUGUUAAGGAAGAACGAGUGUGAAAAUGGAAAGUUCAUACUGUGACG
This 462-nucleotide ribosomal RNA is filed under the name Streptococcus anginosus. RNAcentral's name for it is "bacterial SSU rRNA". It matches the Rfam family "Bacterial small subunit ribosomal RNA", at positions 38 to 474 of the family's 1533-position model. The record is from RNAcentral. Lineage: Bacteria; Bacillati; Bacillota; Bacilli; Lactobacillales; Streptococcaceae.